RNAcentral lists this long non-coding RNA (2603 nucleotides) under Hordeum vulgare. RNAcentral's name for it is "long non-coding RNA (HVUL_LNC002723)". The record is from RNAcentral. Lineage: Eukaryota; Viridiplantae; Streptophyta; Magnoliopsida; Poales; Poaceae.
AGCAGGACCGUGAGAGCGGCAACGCCGACGAUCUUUUGUACAUGCCGGUGACCACCAUGUCCUUUAUGGUGAUGUAGCCGGUGCUGAACCACACCACAACCUGGGCGGAGAGAGAGAACAAAGAUCAACUACUGGCCUGAACCCAUAAAUAAAAGAAAAACCAAAUAGAAUUCAAAAGUUAAGUAUGUUUGCUACUGGAGUUGACUACUAUAUAGUGCCAAAACAAACAACUAAUGAGACAACACUCCACACCACCAACUUACCAGUUAGGACCAAGUGGCACUACAAUCUCCAUACAUCCAUCAAUCGAUAUUCUCGCCCUCCACAAGAUAAAACUUAGCAAUAGCUGAGGGUACAUGCAACUUCCUGGGCAGACACACACACACACAGAGAGAGAGCAUGAUUAACUGGUGUCAUCAACCCACAUAACAAAAUAGAGAAUUUAAAAAUUAAGUAUAAGUGCUACUUACGCAGACUUCUACAAGUUUGGAUAGGAGCUAUCUAGCACAUGCAAUAUAUAGGAAGAACAAGCAGACCUUACAAGUUAAUAGUGUUGUCAAACACAUCGUCCAUGCCAUAAAGAUCAAGUAAUCGUUAUAGCUCAGAUAUUGAUAUUUAUAUCUACUACUGUUUAGGUACCAUAGUUUGUUUUCUCUUAUUAGGACUUCUACUCAUGUAUAAAAGGAUAGGUGAACAAUUGAGAUUGACUUCAGAAAAUAGAAAGAUCUAUUCUAUUUCUUGAGUCAAUGCAUCAUAACUGCAAGCACACAUGACUUCAGAAAAUAGCAGGACCUUGAGAGCGGCAACGCCGACGAUCUUGAUGGGCAUGCCGGUGACCACCAUGUCCUUUAUAGUGAUGUAGCCGGUGCUGAACCACACCACAACCUGGGCGGAGAGAGAGAACAAAGAUCAACUACUGGCCUGAACCCAUAAAUAAAAGAAAAACCAAAUAGAAUUCAAAAGUUAAGUAUGUUUGCUACUGGAGUUGACUACUAUAUAGUGCCAAAACAAACAACUAAUGAGACAACACUCCACACCACCAACUUACCAGUUAGGACCAAGUGGCACUACAAGCUCCAUACAUCCAUCAAUCGAUAUUCUCGCCCUCCACAAGAUCAAACUUCGCAAUAGCUGAGGGUACAUGCAACUUCCUGGGCGCACACACACACACACACACACACACACAGAGAGCAUGAUUAACUGGUGCCAUCAACCCACAUAAAAAAAUAGAGAGAAUUAAAAAAUUAAGUAUAAGUGCUACUUACGCAGACUUCUACAAGUUUGGAUAGGAGCUAUCUAGCACAUGCAAUAUAUAGGAAGAACAAGCAGACCUUACAAGUUAAUAGUGUUGUCAAACACAUCGUCCAUGACAUAAAGAUCAAGUAAUCGUUAUAGCUCAGAUAUUGAUAUUUAUAUCUACUACUGUUUAGGUACCAUAGUUUGUUUUCUCUUAUUAGGACUUCUACUCAUGUAUAAAAGGAUAGGUGAACAAUUGAGAUUGACUUCAGAAAAUAGAAAGAUCUAUUAUAUUUCUUGAGUCAAUGCAUCAUAACUACAAGCACACAUGACUUCAGAAAAUAGCAGGACCUUGAGAGCGGCAACGCCGACGAUCUUGAUGGGCAUGCCGGUGACCACCAUGUCCUUUAUGGUGAUGUAGCCGGUGCUGAACCACACCACAACCUGGGCGGAGAGAGAGAACAAAGAUCAACUACUGGCCUCAACCCAUAAAUAAAAGAAAAACCAAAUAGAAUUCAAAAGUUUAAGUAUGUGUGCUACUGGAGUUGACUACUACAUAGUGCCAAAACAAACAACUAAUGAGACAACACUCCACACCACCAACUUACCAGUUAGGACCAAGUGGCACUACAAGCUCCAUACAUCCAUCAAUCGAUAUUCUCGCCCUCCACAAGAUCAAACUUCGCGAUAGCUGAGGGUCCAUGCAACUUCCUGGGCACACACACACACAUAGAGCAUGAUUACACAGGAAACUAGAUUUCACUGAAGAAUAGCAUUAGUAUAGUUUGCCUAACUUCAAAUCAAAUUGACCAAUCCUGAUUUCUGAACUAUAGAAUAUCAUGAACUUAACUGAAUUUAACACACACACACACACACAGAGCAUGAUUAACUGGUGUCAUCAACCCACAUAACAAAAUAGAGAAUUUAAAAAUUAAGUAUAAGUGCUACUGACGCAGACUUCUUCAAGUUUUGAUAUGAGCUAUCUAGCACAUGCAAUAUAUAGGAAGAACAAGCAGACCUUACAAGUUAAUAGUGUCGUCAAACACAUCGUCUAUGCCAUAAAGAUCAAGUAAUCGUUAUAGCUCAGAUAUUGAUAUUGAUAUCUACUACUGUUUAGGUACCAUAGUUUGUUUUCUCUUAUUAGGACUUCUACUCAUGUAUAAAAGGAUAGGUGAACAAUUGAGAUUGACUUCAGAAAAUAGAAAGAUCUCUUCUAUUUCUUGAGUCAAUACAUCAUAAGUGCAAGCACACAUGACUUCAGAAAAUAGCAGGACCUUGAGAGCGGCAACGCCGACGAUCUUGAUGGGCAUGCCGGUGACCACCAUGUCCUUUAUGGUCAUGUAGCCGGUGCUGAACCACACCACAAC